GGUAAGGCCGAACCUUCCUCUCGAUUCCCUCUCUCAUUGUUCUAUGUUUCUCUCGCCACCCCGCACCGAUCUCCUCUCUUUUUCAUUCAUUUUCGCAUCCAAACCGUAGAAAGAGUAGAUCGUAGUCAACCCGGCGGCCUACGGUCAUUUUUUUCCUAUGGGAUAGUUUGUUUGCCUACAAAUGAGGAGGAGCCAUGGUGGGGUGGUGGCCGUUCGGCUCGGGAGGAGGUGGUGGUGAGAAGGAGGUGAGGCUUGGGGUGGUGUUGUCCGGUGGUGCAAGUACUCUACGAGGUGGCCGGUACCGCUGAGUUGAAGAGAGGAGCAAGAAGCAGGGGACACACACGUUGAAGGUGAAAAUGGCUGAAUCAGUAAAUUUGACUGUUUACUAUGGCCCUGGUAAUGUCCGAUAUAAUAAGUUGGGGGUUGAUCUUAGCGAGUAUAAAAAUGGCGUCGUGACACUUUCAAAUCCGGACAGACUGGACAUUAGACAGUUGAAGUACUGGUUGACUACUAGUUUUCGGCUGGAUCCUGAAGUAUGUUCGGUCAGUAUUCAUGCAUUGUGGACCAAAUCAUGUAAAAAUGUCAAGUGGGAGUUGAUGCUGAUAGAUAGGAGUCAGCAAUGGUUGACCCUGUUAAAGCGUUGCAGAGAUCGAAGAAUCCACCCAUGUGCCCUAGUGCAAAGGAGGAGAAUACCGUACAACUCCAUACUCCACGGGGGGCAUGAACCCGGCCAGGGCAGUCAAGUGGCUAACGAGAUUUAUUUAUCCGGGUCACAACCACUAGAUGUGGAUGCUAGCCAACCCGAGAAAGAGUCAGUUUACGUGCCACACAAUGUGUGUGGUCAUUAUACCGGGCAGAGUAGUCGGUCGAUAAUAUUAGCUGGUUCUGAUUUUGCUGACGGGGCCUGUAAAGGAGAGGAAAUGCAGAGGACGAUGAUGGAUUGGCGGAGGAUCUGGAUUCUGAAUAUUCCGAGGAUGAAGUGAAGGUACCGAUUCCUUCUGCAUGGGAUCAGGACAUAUCGACCGGCUUUAGGGUCAACGAUGGCCAUGAGACUCCGUGUCAGUAUAAUCUGAACCAAGUCCGGGUAGGGGCUAUGUAUGAUACAAAGAAAAAAUUGAAGUAUGCGGUGAUAAAGUGGGCUAUGUCUACGCAGAGUGUUUUCCGGACACACGUAUCAAGUCCAACAAACUAUACUGUGAAAUGUGUUGAAACAGGUUGUCCUGGGAAGGUGCACGGGCACGUGCUGAAGUAUAACAUCCACUGGGUUGUCACCAAUGUCGUCCCAUAUAAUUGUGUGAGGAAAAACCUUCAGGUGAAUCAUCCAAACCUGACUUCACCAACACCACCGACACAGACCGUGACAGACGAGGUUAUCUAUGGUCAUGGUUAUCGUGAGCCUCGCCCACCGCCUCAGCGUUUAUCACCUUUCGGUCCUCGUCCGAGGAAGACCCAGAUGCGUCGUCGUCCCAGCAGUGAUAUGAUUAUCUAUGUAUGACACAUAUGUCCAUCAAUGUUAGUUUCAGACUUUUCUCAUGUGUGAGUCAUUAUCUAUAUAUGUGACAUGAUUCA
Aegilops tauschii subsp. strangulata is the source of this 1569-nucleotide long non-coding RNA. RefSeq lists it as uncharacterized. The record is from RefSeq and is a predicted model, not a curated record. NCBI's taxonomy places the organism in Eukaryota, Viridiplantae, Streptophyta, Magnoliopsida, Poales, Poaceae.